RNAcentral lists this non-coding RNA (101 nucleotides) under Listeria aquatica. RNAcentral describes it as "SAM-I sequence". It matches the Rfam family "SAM riboswitch aptamer (S box leader)". From Rfam's summary of the family: The SAM riboswitch is found upstream of a number of genes which code for proteins involved in methionine or cysteine biosynthesis in Gram-positive bacteria. The record is from RNAcentral. Lineage: Bacteria; Bacillati; Bacillota; Bacilli; Caryophanales; Listeriaceae.
CUCUUAUCCAGAGCGGUAGAGGGACUGGCCCUUUGAAGCCCAGCAACCUACACUUGUUGUAAGGUGCUAACCUGAGCAGGAGUUUUCCUGAUCGAUGAGAG